AUUGAACGCUGGCGGCAGGCUUAACACAUGCAAGUCGAGCGGAGAGAGGUAGCUUGCUACCGAUCUUAGCGGCGGACGGGUGAGUAAUGCUUAGGAAUCUGCCUAUUAGUGGGGGACAACAUUUCGAAAGGAAUGCUAAUACCGCAUACGUCCUACGGGAGAAAGCAGGGGAUCUUCGGACCUUGCGCUAAUAGAUGAGCCUAAGUCGGAUUAGCUAGUUGGUGGGGUAAAGGCCUACCAAGGCGACGAUCUGUAGCGGGUCUGAGAGGAUGAUCCGCCACACUGGGACUGAGACACGGCCCAGACUCCUACGGGAGGCAGCAGUGGGGAAUAUUGGACAAUGGGCGCAAGCCUGAUCCAGCCAUGCCGCGUGUGUGAAGAAGGCCUUAUGGUUGUAAAGCACUUUAAGCGAGGAGGAGGCUACUUUAGUUAAUACCUAGAGAUAGUGGACGUUACUCGCAGAAUAAGCACCAGCUAACUCUGUGCCAGCCGCCGCGGUAA
RNAcentral lists this ribosomal RNA (501 nucleotides) under uncultured bacterium. Its description in RNAcentral is "partial 16S ribosomal RNA". It matches the Rfam family "Bacterial small subunit ribosomal RNA", at positions 30 to 523 of the family's 1533-position model. The record is from RNAcentral.